Molecule: ribosomal RNA, 439 nt
Filed under: Burkholderia cepacia
Lineage: Bacteria; Pseudomonadati; Pseudomonadota; Betaproteobacteria; Burkholderiales; Burkholderiaceae
Description: bacterial SSU rRNA
Rfam family: Bacterial small subunit ribosomal RNA
Source: RNAcentral
AUUGAACGCUGGCGGCAUGCCUUACACAUGCAAGUCGAACGGCAGCACGGGUGCUUGCACCUGGUGGCGAGUGGCGAACGGGUGAGUAAUACAUCGGAACAUGUCCUGUAGUGGGGGAUAGCCCGGCGAAAGCCGGAUUAAUACCGCAUACGAUCUACGGAUGAAAGCGGGGGACCUUCGGGCCUCGCGCUAUAGGGUUGGCCGAUGGCUGAUUAGCUAGUUGGUGGGGUAAAGGCCUACCAAGGCGACGAUCAGUAGCUGGUCUGAGAGGACGACCAGCCACACUGGGACUGAGACACGGCCCAGACUCCUACGGGAGGCAGCAGUGGGGAAUUUUGGACAAUGGGCGAAAGCCUGAUCCAGCAAUGCCGCGUGUGUGAAGAAGGCCUUCGGGUUGUAAAGCACUUUUGUCCGGAAAGAAAUCCUUGGUUCUAAUAUA